This 4861-nucleotide long non-coding RNA is filed under the name Solanum lycopersicum (tomato). RNAcentral's name for it is "long non-coding RNA (SLYC_LNC000225)". The record is from RNAcentral. Lineage: Eukaryota; Viridiplantae; Streptophyta; Magnoliopsida; Solanales; Solanaceae.
UUGGCUAGUUCUUCCUUAUGCAGGUGUGGUGGAAUAAUGGAUUUGAUUGCAUAUCAAGAUGGACUUGAUUGACCGUUGCAAGACUGUAUGAAUCUGUCUACCUUUGAUUUACGGAUCAUAUUUUUUCCUUCUUAUUGUUGCAUAUGUGGUUCCCUUUUCUUUUGAAUUGUUUUACUUGAUUUCAUCAUAUUAAUCAAGAUAUGAUUGAUUGAUUCUGGAAGCUCUUAAUAUUUCUUUCCUUUCUUUGUUUUCUUUGGGGAUCAAGACAUAUCUCUUUUUGAUGUCUUUACCUGCGAAGAGUAUAAAUAACUGUUUAAGUGUCAUUUAUCAAAAUCAACUCCAUCUAUGGAGUUAACAAUCUCCCACUUUUUUAUAAUGACAAUUAAUACACAAUUUAGUAUAAUACUCUAAGAGACAGUGAAACUUCCCUGAUCUUGAUGUGUGUAUAUCCUGUUGGGAACUGUAGCUCCCCCUAUCUUCAUGACUUCUCUGUUGUGUUGGCUCCCCUUGUCUAUCUGAAUAUUGUGUGAGAAAAAAUCUCCCCUUUGGAAUAAUCAAAAAGAAAAACCAUACAUGAUAGUGAUAAAAAAAGGAAAUAUUAGAUAAUAAUAGAGCAACACUUAUGAGGAUAAUAGAUAUCAAUACUUGGUCCAAUAGACAAAGAUAGGACUGGAGUUGGUCUCUAUACUUGAGAGAAUCAACUCGCUGAAUCAACUUGUUGACUUCGGAGAUUCCUUCCUUUUCAAAAUAAUCGUAAAGAGUCUCCAAACCAUGUUCAUUAUUGUCUUGCAACACUAGGAUAGCUAACUCUGCAGAAAAGUUUGUUUGAAUGAUUGUUUCAACACUAGCCUUUACAAAGUCUUUUUUUUUCAACCAAUUGUUUUCUAGCUGCACAUUCUCCAUACUAGAUAAAAUACGAGAUUUUUAAGAGCAUUAAUAGCAUUAAGUGUAAACAUAGGGAGAUCCACAAGGUGAUCUAACAGAAUACGCAAGAUGAGCAACCCAUAUGGCAAGCUUGUAGCGGAACUUGUGUCUUCAGAACUUUUCAACAUGUAUUCUUUGAACCAUAACACUAAAUUGAAAAAGCGGUACUUCUCAAGUAGCUAAUAUAUAACAAAUACAUCUUGAGUAGAAUAAAUGCUUAGAAAUCCUUUCCUGGGAAUAAGAAUGGUGGCAACUAUCUGCCCAAUAUUCAUUGUUCAAAAUAAUGAGAUAAAGGUUAAAAAUUUUGGCAAGUCCCACUGGAAUUUUUUUCGAUCAUUUUUGUCACUUGUUUUUUUUCGCUCGAAUUGACCAAGAUCUUUCUUCAUAGCUUGUUUCUAGGAUUCAUCUUCCAUUGCUUCAUUUAUACGUUUUGGUUCAAUCUAAAAGACGAGUGCGAUGAAAACUUGCUUUUUUCCAUGAAGAUCUGAUUUGAAGUGAAUCAGUUGGUUUCCCCAUGAUGACCUUGUUUGUAUAGUUAACAUCGUGUCUCUAUUCUCUGGUCAUACCAGUGUUUCCUGCUGAUCUAGUCAACUCUAGUUCUUGAGUAGUUGACUUCUCUACUAUAAUAUGAUCAGAAGUAUUUGGGAGGUUCUUAGUGUUCACUGCAGAGUAGUUUCAUCAUCUAUAGACUCUAUCUCCUACAUACUUGGGUUAGUAAAAAGAAGAACAAAUUAUUCAACACAUUAAAGCUCUUUUAUUAAAAAUUGAAAUGCACGACCGACGGAUGCAUAAUAGUAUUCGUUCAUCCCUUCUUAUAUCAAACUUACCCAUAUUUGUCCAUUGCUGUGAAUGAGAGAUUUUCAUAUGAAAGGGUGAACAAAGUUUAUAUGGUUUUGGCGGACGAUUUUUCCAUUCUACCACCUGUUAUGCUGUGGUGAUCACACUGAUAAGUGUCACAUAUAUGGUCCAUUUCAAAUUUUUAACCUUUGGAAAAAAAUGACUAGUUCAAAUCUAGACGAGUUUUCAAGGCAUGCAAGCUGACAUGACCAAGUUUUUUGUGCCAUAGUCAAGAUUCAAUUGAUAGUCUGAUAGUGCAAGUUGUAGCAUUGAAUGAGAUUUUGAUUUCUACAUCGCAUAGUUGACUGAUGUUAAUCAGGUUGUGUUUAAGUCCCUUCACCAGGUAUACUUUUGAUUAUCAGCUAAGAGUCAUUAAUCCAACUCCUACUACUUCUAAUUUUGCAUUUUCUUUGAACUGUAACACCCUGCAAUUUUUUUGUUAUGAUUUUUGAAAUUUUCUUUCUUUCUGCACCUAUGUAUGGAGCACACACAUAUAUUCCAUUUCUGUAGGUUCUUUUUGCAUGCUUCUGCCAAACAAGUAGAUUACUUUGUUUUAGGUACCCAAGUAGUUUUGGAUCCUUGAGGGUUAGGAUUAACAACUUUUGGUCUCCAAAUCCAUUUUCCAAAAGAGAAUUUCCUACAGUUAAAAGAUUUGUGACCAAAGUCACCACAAGUAUAGCAACAGAAUUCAUAAGAGAGAUAAGAAGAAUUAGAUAUAGAUCUGUUGGAGGUACAAUUUUGAGAUCUUCUCCUGUAAUUGAGAGUAGAUCUUUUGGAUUCGUCAGAGCUAUGACUAGAAGAUUUUCUAAUAUUGUUCAACUGCAUUUUUACGUCCUCCAUGUUUUCUUCUAGUAAGUCAAUUUCAGUCUUUCUUUCUUCAAGAAGAAUUUGCCGAUUUUUGUUUUCUUGAGCAAUCUUAUGUAUUCAUCAAUGACUUUAUGCAGUUCAUCAUCAACCAUAUCCAAAGAUUCUUGUAAGGUAUCACAAUAUGGACAAUUAAAAGAUCUUACCUCACUUGUUUCACCUAGUGCCAUGAAUAUGUUGGCGGUGUCAUCUUAAUCAUUUUUAGAUGUUUCUCCUUGACUUUUGGCUUUUUCAUUUAUUCGAUUAUAUCUCCUUCUUCAUUCUUGAUAAUUUUGUUUGAUAUGUCCUGGUUUUCCACAAUAGUAGUAGCGAUCAUCAUUUCUUUUGAAUUAGUUGUUAUUGAAUUCCAGUUGAGGUCUCUUCCUUCUUUGUUUAAGCAUUUGUUUGACUUCCUUCACUUUGAUAUUCAUCGACUUCCUUUCCAAUGUCAAAAGUCUCAGCUGUAAAUGCCACAGUCUUUUUUUUAUCAUCCUUGUUGUCCCUAUUAAUAUGAUUCUGUUCAUAGGCCAUUAAGUUGCCUCUAAGUUCAUUGUAUGUCAUUUUUUUGCGGAUCUCCAUCUUCAAGAAUGACAUAUUUAGUUUCCCAAGCCUUGGGGAAACUUCUAACGAGUUUUCUAACUUGUAACGCAUUUGAAUACCCCAUUCCAAAUGAUUUGAAUUCACACACAAUUUUACUUAUGCUCGAGAACAUGGAUUCAACAUUUUCAUGUUCGGCCAUUUUGAAUAACUCAUAUGCAUUUACAAGUGUACUGAUCGGAGCUUCAUUUACUUUAGUAGUUCCUUCAUAAGUUACUUCUAGUUUGUCGCACAUUUCUUUUGCAGUUUCACAUGUCGAUAUUUUAUCAUAUUCUGCUUCACUCACUUAACAAUUUAAAAAACUUAUAACUCUAGCAUUAGUUUGAAUUACCUCUUGUUGUUCUUUAGUGAUAUCAAAUGAUUUAGGAUCAAAUGGCUUUUUCAGUUCCAUCUUUUUCAGUCAAUCCUGGAAUAGGCUUCGGGCCCUUCUUGAAUACUACCCAUGCUUGAUGAUCGUUUGAAGAGACAAAGAUUCUAAAUCUGUCUUUCCAGUGAGAGUAAUGUUGUCUAUUAAAGUAUGGUGGUCGGUAUGAGGAAUGUCCAUCUUGAAGUAACACGCCAGGAAUUUGACGGUGUGCCAUUGAAUCUUUGCUCACGCGUGAUUAAAAAUUGAAGUAGUGAGACCUUCUCGAUACCAAUUAAAAGUCAAGAGAUAAGGUGAAUUAAAAUUCCCUUCGAUUGACUUCCUAUGCUAGUUAGUCGACUAACCUGCAUGUUAGUAAAACAUACAAAUAGUAAUGAUAACUUGCAGCAAGUAAAUAAUAUAGAGUAUUUUUAUACUUGUUCGGAUCACCGAUGUUGUUCCUAGUCUAGUCCCCUUGGGUUACAAGGGUUUCCUUAAAAGCUUGUUGAGAACUUGGGUGUUAUAGAAUGUUACGAUUAAGAUCCCGUCUGAUAUGCAAAUCAGACCUUCUUCUUUGACACAACCUCUACCUGUAUAAACUACACUUAGAUCUUUCUUUCCCUUUUCUCUACAAUUGUUCACUAAAAGGUGUAAAGAGUUUUAUGAAAGAUAAAAGAAAAUUACAAUAUAAGUUCAAGUGAAGUGUGUACUUCACAACAAAGAUAUUGACAUGUUUAUAUAAGAGGGAGUAUACUCCUUGAAAACAAAACCCAAGGGGUAUUUAAAUCAAGGAUAUUGAUGGAUUCCUUGAAUGGGGCGGUUUGGUUUUCCAUAUCCAUUUUGAAUGUGACUAUGGUACAAUCGCUUUCUUUGACUUGGAGUGAUUUGCUGAUCCAUGUCCAUAAUUAAUAUGUGCAUAGCAAAAUCACUUCUACUUUCUUUUAGUGAUGAUUUCCCUCUAUUCUUGACUUGAUUUCCUCUUGUGAUUGUUUCUUGAUUCUUGACUUGAUUUCCUCUUGUGAUUUUUUGAUCUUCUAGAUCUUUACUCGAGACAGCCUUUGGCUUGUUCUUCCUUAUGCAGGUCUGCUGGAAUCAUGGAUUUGAUUGCAUAUCAAGAUGGACUUGAUUGACCGUUCCAAGACUGUAUGAAACUGUCUACCUUUGAUUUACGAAUCAUAUUUUUUUCCUUCUUAUUGUUGCAUAUGUGGUUCCCUUUUCAUUUGAAUUGUUUUACUUGAUUUCAUCAUAUCAAUCAAGAUAUGAUUGAUUGAUUCUGGAAGCUUUUAAUAUUUCUUUCCUUUCUUUGUUUUCUUUGGG